UACAGAGGAGCCAAGCGUUGUCCGGAUUGACUGGGCGUAAAGCGCACGCAGGCGGUCGCGCGCGUGGGGUGUGAAAUCUGGCCGCUUAACGGCCAGGCGCCAUCCCAUACGGCGCGACUCGAGCCAUGCAGAGGGCGGUGGAAUUGCCGGUGUAGUGGUGAAAUGCGUAGAGAUGUGGAGGAACACCGAUGGCGAAGGCAGCCCCCUGGGUCAACACUGACGCUCAUGCACGAAAGCGUGGGGAGCAAACAGG
This 253-nucleotide ribosomal RNA is filed under the name uncultured bacterium. RNAcentral's name for it is "partial 16S ribosomal RNA". It matches the Rfam family "Bacterial small subunit ribosomal RNA", at positions 524 to 776 of the family's 1533-position model. The record is from RNAcentral.